CAGUUUGGAUCUGUUGCUAAGCACAGUCCUGUAAUCCCCCAAAGAGGUUUUAUUAGUACCAGGGAAUUUUGACUUAAACCUUAAGAUGUAUAUUCAUCGCAGCAAAACUCUAGUUGUUAAAAUCUUAGCUGUAGGAAACUACAUUUAUUUAAAGCUUUAAGUUUAAGUUUAAGUUGACUUGGAAGGUUGACUUUGCGAGGUGUACUCAUAUUGGCUCAGUUAGAAUCAGCAUAAAAAAAAAAAAAACAACCCAAGCCAAGCAUAACCCUUUAGAAUCAUGAACACAAUUAUAGCCACGCCUCCAGAGGGAAACAAUGCACAUUCAAGUUUCUUCCAACUUAUGAUGAUUCUGGCUAACACCUCAUUUAGCUUUCCCUUUAUUUUCCUCAUGAAGUUUCCUUCUCUGAUCCUCUUCGUCUCUGCCUUGAUUUGGGGAGCCCCACCACUGCUUCACUGUGUAACCCACCUUAGUUUCUCAGCUUCUCCUUCCUCAGUGCCAGCUACCCACUAUGGAAAACGACGAGGACGACGACGACGACCGCAACAACAAGAACAACAAGAACAACAGCAGGAAUCGGACAAACUCCUGUGAUCAAAAUCUAAACUGUUGCAUCGAACUCAUCGAACAAGUGGCGAAGGUGCAGGCACAGCUCUUUGCAAUCCUCACAGCGACAGCCCAAGAAGGGGGACAUAAUGAGGGUGUUGAGACAAUCAAGAGUCGCCUUUUGCCCUUGCUGCAGACUUCCUUCAGCUCUCUAGGCGUGGGAAAA
RNAcentral lists this long non-coding RNA (770 nucleotides) under Rattus norvegicus (Norway rat). RNAcentral's name for it is "long non-coding RNA NONRATT009852". The record is from RNAcentral. Lineage: Eukaryota; Metazoa; Chordata; Mammalia; Rodentia; Muridae.